GAGAUUUUGCCCUGGAAGGACUGAGAAACGGGGAUUGGUCAGACCAGGCUGCCCAGCCCCCCGGUCCCCACCGCCGCCCCCCCCGCCCCACGCAGCGGCUAGGGCGCUUAGCUGAGCCAUUGUCUCGUUCUUUCCUUCCAGCAACUUCGCGGUGUGGUGAACUCUCUGAGGAAAAACGGUUCCAUUCAGAGCCGAUACAUCAGCAUGAGUGUGUGGACAAGCCCACGGAGACUUGUGGAGCUGGCAGGGCAGAGCCUGCUGAAGGAUGAGGCCCUGGCCAUUGCCGCCCUGGAGUUGCUGCCCAGGGAGCUCUUCCCGCCACUCUUCAUGGCAGCCUUUGACGGGAGACACAGCCAGACCCUGAAGGCAAUGGUGCAGGCCUGGCCCUUCACCUGCCUCCCUCUGGGAGUGCUGAUGAAGGGACAACAUCUUCACCUGGAGACCUUCAAAGCUGUGCUUGAUGGACUUGAUGUGCUCCUUGCCCAGGAGGUUCGCCCCAGGAGGUGGAAACUUCAAGUGCUGGAUUUACGGAAGAACUCUCAUCAGGACUUCUGGACUGUAUGGUCUGGAAACAGGGCCAGUCUGUACU
This 589-nucleotide unclassified non-coding RNA is filed under the name Homo sapiens (human). Its description in RNAcentral is "PRAME nuclear receptor transcriptional regulator (ENSG00000275013.4)". The record is from RNAcentral. Lineage: Eukaryota; Metazoa; Chordata; Mammalia; Primates; Hominidae.